Molecule: non-coding RNA, 442 nt
Organism: Bufo bufo (common toad)
Lineage: Eukaryota; Metazoa; Chordata; Amphibia; Anura; Bufonidae
Source: the annotation of a RefSeq genome assembly
CUGAUAUCUGUCUCUACUGUAACACCCCAUAUCCUUAUAGUAAGUGACAUACGGGAUUGUCAUUAGAUUAAACAUGUUUCUGAUAACUGCAUUUCUUCCCUUCCUCUACAUGGGACUGGCUUACAGUGUCUUAUUGAGUCAGCCCAGCUCUGAAAAUAGGAUCUAUGGCGAACCUGUGCUCAUAUCAUGUGAAGCCUCUGGAUAUGAAUUUACUACAUACUGGAUGGCCUGGUUGAAACAUGUUCCAGGAAAAGCGCUUUUGUAUGUAGGACAUAUUGACCCAUCUGAUGGUUACACUAGAAUUACAGAUUCAUUUACUUCAAGAUUUGAAUUAAAAACAGAUAAUGCAAAAAACAUGGGAUACAUGAAAAUAAAGAAUGUCCUGUAUGAAGAUGCUGCAGUGUAUUAUUGUGCUCAAAGACCACAGUGUUCAAGUUAUUAG